GACGAACGCUGGCGGCGUGCUUAACGCAUGCAAGUCGAACGGAAAGGCCCUGCUUUUGUGGGGUGCUCGAGUGGCGAACGGGUGAGUAACACGUGAGUAACCUGCCCUUGACUUUGGGAUAACUUCAGGAAACUGGGGCUAAUACCGGAUAGGAGCUCCUGCUGCAUGGUGGGGGUUGGAAAGUUUCGGCGGUUGGGGAUGGACUCGCGGCUUAUCAGCUUGUUGGUGGGGUAGUGGCUUACCAAGGCUUUGACGGGUAGCCGGCCUGAGAGGGUGACCGGCCACAUUGGGACUGAGAUACGGCCCAGACUCCUACGGGAGGCAGCAGUGGGGAAUAUUGCAAAAUGGGCGGAAGCCUGAUGCAGCAACGCCGCGUGCGGGACGACGGCCUUCGGGUUGUAAACCGCUUUCGCCUGUGACGAAGCGUGAGUGACGGUAAUGGGUAAAGAAGCACCGGCUAACUACGUG
This 468-nucleotide ribosomal RNA is filed under the name uncultured bacterium. Its description in RNAcentral is "partial 16S ribosomal RNA". It matches the Rfam family "Bacterial small subunit ribosomal RNA", at positions 28 to 507 of the family's 1533-position model. The record is from RNAcentral.